This 73-nucleotide transfer RNA is filed under the name Bos taurus (domestic cattle). It matches the Rfam family "tRNA". Rfam says of the family: Transfer RNA (tRNA) molecules are approximately 80 nucleotides in length. Their secondary structure includes four short double-helical elements and three loops (D, anti-codon, and T loops). The record is from Rfam by way of RNAcentral. Lineage: Eukaryota; Metazoa; Chordata; Mammalia; Artiodactyla; Bovidae. RNAcentral also lists the same sequence under 5 other names.
UCCCUGGUGGUCCAGUGGCCAAGACUCUGAGUUCCCAAUGCAGGAGGCCUGGGUUCAAUCCCUGGUCAGGGAA